Musa acuminata AAA Group (dessert banana) is the source of this 2847-nucleotide long non-coding RNA. RefSeq lists it as uncharacterized. The transcript is spliced from 7 exons. Lineage: Eukaryota; Viridiplantae; Streptophyta; Magnoliopsida; Zingiberales; Musaceae. The record is from RefSeq and is a predicted model, not a curated record.
CCCCCAUCGUUCAAACCCUCCCUCCCCGGCCUUUUCCCGGCUAGGGUUUCUGACCGCCCUUCCGUCUCCCGUCGCCAUGGAGAGUUCCUCCUGAUCUUUCGAUUCGAUCUGUUGACCCAUGAUUUAUUGUUUUCCCUUCUGAUUCGUGUCUUUGAUUGGUGAAACUCCGUGAAUAGCCGCAGAGGAUCUCCGUCGAGCUUCUCCGCCGAAGCGCAGGAGGCUCGGGAGGUCCACAAGCGAUCGAAUUUUACCCCAGAGGUUUUGGGUAUUGAAGGAAGAAUGUUUUCCAGGAAUCGUUAUGCGGAGAAGGUGCUGAUGAAGAAGUUGUAAGCAUCCUUUGCAUCGUCCUUGAAGUUUGAUUUCCUAAACUUGUCUCAGUAAUGUAGGUCCGAAUGGCGGGGAUCUCGUCGUCACUGAAGUGGCGGGCUGCGUAGAUCAGGCCGCGUCGAGGUUGAUCGCGGUGUUCCGUAGAGGAGGCCUCCUUUGCUCUGCCUCCCAAGGGCGCUAACCUCGUCUUCUCACCUGCACAUAGGUCGGGUCGGGGGGCUCGGCCCGACCCCUCCGACGAUCAAGUUAGUGAUGCGGAGUGGGAGCGGGUUACGUCUGACACUGGUGUUGGCGUGGCGUGAAGGAUCGAGUCUGAACAGAUCGUUAAUGGGCCUCGGUCUGCGUUCUGGUUCGUUUGACCAGGUUCCGUCGGGUAGGUUGAGGUGUGAGGCGUCGUCUGGGACAGCUGACGUCUGCGCGGGUCUUGUCACCAUUUAUUACCCUCAUCAGACAGUAACGGCUUGCUGUCCAUGAUGAAUCAUCAAAUCUCCAUUAGGUGGUCGACAAGGUUCAUGAUGAAGCUACUCCUGCAUCUUUUAGAUUGGGAUACGACAACAUGGAAAAAGAUGAUCCUCAAACAACACUUAAGCAGAAAAAGGAGGAAAAGGCUGGCAAUUGAAAGGUCCCCUUACCAAUGUACAAUCUGGAGAGUGAAUAACAGGCACAUUGCUACCAAAUGCAUUUAUGAAUUUAGAGGCAAAUGCUGGUGGUUGGCCUUGGACAUGCAAAGGAAAUUAUAAAGCUGGACAACAAUGAAUUACAAUAUGUUUGCUAAUCAGUCAUGCUGUUCACUGGUUAAUUAGUACCAAUAAUAGUUCUCCCAAUGAAGCCAUAAUCUCGUUGUUACAUUAUCUGUUUUAUUUGUUAUGCUGAUAAUUAAUAGCAAUCACUUUUUUACUAUGUUAAAGCGAAAGAACAUAAAAUAAAAUUUUUAAUUCCUAAAGAUAUGUUUAUCGUCGUGCGAAAAUUGAUGCAUAAAAAUUUGUGAAAUAGAAAACCACGUGUGAGAUAAAUUGUAUUACCUAAGGAGAUCGUAUAUUCCUAAAUUCCUGUUUAUCUCUAGAAGAGGGUGAAUGAGGUCAAGUGUUCUUCUCUCUAGCAUUGAUCCACACAACAGAGCUACGAUGACGUUCCUCAAAACUUCAUGUCUUGUUUUGAGGUGGAAAGGAGAAGGACAAUAGGAGAGAAAACAAAAAGCUCUAGCUUAUAAAUUAUUGAAAUCCUUCUAUUUAUAAAGGUCCUUUAUCAACUUAACUCUAAUAGAUCCCCCUAUUAGGUAUUAUAUCUCCAUCCAAUUACUAAAGCCUCUUAUAUUAGUGGAUCUCUAUCCAAUAAUCUCUUGUGAGCUCUUAUUGGAUUUAAUCCAUAGGAUCUAAUAAUUCAGGGGCUUAUUUGAUAUCUAAUAAGAUAGGGGCUCCAGCGGAUAUCUCAUAUCUGAACCUCUACUUAUCGUAAUGUCUACCAUAUGUGUAUGAUCCUAUAAGCUCAAUAUCGAGUUACUUAUCGUAAUGUCUACCAUAUGUGUAUGAUCUUAUAAGCCCAAUAUCGAGUUGGUCAUGAGUCAUACCUAUCAUAACUCCUUCUGACUCAGUGAAUUAUUAUCUUCAUCGACUGCGAACGUACUAGGCCACUACGUCGUAGUUCCUAGACGAUACAGGGGAAUCCAAUCCAUUGGAUCUAUCUGUCCUCAGUUACCGUGUAUCUAUAGUCCCUCAUCCUCUAAUAUCCUAGAGAUCGUUUAAUGGGCAUGGUGUUGUCAGACCCAUGUAGUUUCUACUCGAGUCUCGCUCUAAUCGGAUUCUCACGGAGAACUCUUUCUCUCUCAAUUCGAAUGACCCUGACCAGAUAUUUGUUUGAGCAAAAACACAUGAAAUAGUGACUACUCGAGUCUCGCUUUAAUCGGAUUCUCACGGAGAACUCUUUCUUUCUCAAUCCAAAUGACCCCGACCAGAGAUUUGUUUGAAUAAGAAUACAUGAGACAGUUUAUACUCGAGUCUCGUUCUAAUUGGAUUCUCACGAAGAACUCUUUCUCUCUCAAUCCGAAUGACCCUAACUAGAGAUUUGUUUGAGCAAGAAUACAUAAGAUAUUCCUCUCAUUACACCGAGAGUGGAUGAUCCUCUAUCAACACUCAAUAACCCUCGUAAGGUUGACUACCACUCCCGAUGAUUGGUUGUGCUAGAUCUGGGACAUCCAAACCUAUAAGUCAAGUAUCAAUGAGUGGAGCACUCAUACAGGACAUCCUUUGUGUCUCAAGUUUAAGGACCAGAUAUACCACUUAGACUACGGAAUCGCUGUCUAACAAAAAGGCAUCAUCAACCAUUUAGUAUUUCAUAAGCGGAUAAACUCAUUCCCCAAUUAGCACCUGUAUUGUAUCCAUAUUAUCCCCAUACGAGCAGCUAUAAGACCAGUUGUAUUCAUCAUAUGGAUGGGUAUACAACAUAUUAAUUUAUCCGGUUAUCUCGAUAUCCUCUCGAAUAAGCUAUAACCAAGAUUAUUUAAGAUAUGUGUUCAAAGACGAA